This 1363-nucleotide ribosomal RNA is filed under the name Orancistrocerus aterrimus. RNAcentral's name for it is "16S ribosomal RNA". Lineage: Eukaryota; Metazoa; Arthropoda; Insecta; Hymenoptera; Vespidae. The record is from RNAcentral.
UAUUUAAAAAUUAAAAUAAAAUAUAUUUGUAUUAAAUUUUGCGUAAAAAGAAUAAUUUAUAAAUUUUUUAGUUGUAGUAUUAUUUUUAAUCAAUAAAAUUAAAUUUUUAGUAAAGAAAUUGAAUGAUUUUAUAAUUUAAGAAGAAGAUUUAUUUUAUCGUACCUUUUGCAUCAGGGCUUAUUAAUUAAUUUAUUACUAUAGUAAUAUUUCUCGAAUUUUAAAGAUUUAAAUUAUAAUGAUAGUUAUUGUGGAAAUAUUAUUAUAAAUUAUAGUUUGGUAGUGAAAUGUUAAUCGUUUUAAAAGAUAUCUAGUUUUUUUAGAAUUGAAUUUAAUUCAUCAUUUAAUUUUUAAUUAAUAAAUUUAUAUAAAAUUAAUAAUUUAAAUGAAAUUAUUUUAGGGAUAACCUUAAAAUAUUUUAAUAAUAUAAUUUAAUAAAAUUAAAUAUAAAUAUUUAUAGAAAUAGAAAUUUUUAAAAAGUAUUUAAUAAUUUAUAAAUUUAAAAUGAAAAUAAUUUUUUAUUUAUUUUAAUUUAUAUAAAAAAAUAUUAUAAAUUAGUUUAAUUAAAUUAUAAUGAUAAUAUUAGUAAAAAUUUAUAUGAGAAAUAUAAAAAUUAAAUAAAUAAUAUUAAAGAAUUCGACAAAUAUUUUAUCCACCUGUUUAUCAAAAACAUGGUUUAUAGAUUCUAAUUAUAAAUUUGUUCUGCCCAAUGAAAUUAUUUUAAUGGCUGCAGUAUAUUGACUGUACAAAGGUAGCAAAAUCAAUUGUUUUUUAAUUAAGAACUGGAAUGAAAGAAUUGAUGAGAUAAAAAUUGUUUCAAUAUUAAAGAUUGAAUUUUAAUUUUAAGUUAAAAUGCUUAAAUGAUUUAAUUAGACGAGAAGACCCUAUAGAAUUUUAUAAAAUUUAUAAUUAAAAAUUAAAUUAUAAAAUUAAUUAUUAAUUAUAAUUAUAUUUAAUUGGGAGGAUUAUAAAAUUAAAUAAACUUUUAUUUUUUUAUAACAUAGAUUAAUGAGUUUUUGAUUAUUAUUAUAAUUAAAAGAAAGAAUUACCUUAGGGAUAACAGCGUAAUAUUUUUGGAUAGUUCAUAUAUAUAAAAAUGUUUGCGACCUCGAUGUUGAAUUAUGAUAAAAUUUAGAUGCAGAAGUUUAAAUUGUUAGUCUGUUCGACUAUUAAAAUCAUACAUGAUUUGAGUUCAGAUCGGUGUAAGCCAGAUCGGUUUCUAUCUUUUAACAAGUAAAAUUUUUUUGUACGAAAGGACUAAAAAUUUAAAAUAUAUUUUUUUAUAAAUUUGAAUAAAAUUAAUUAAUAAAUAAUUAUAUAAUUUUAAUUUAUUCGUUAGAAUAUUUAAGUAUAAAUUAUAAUUUAA